GGGCAAUUAACUCAACUGGUAGAGUGUUUCAUUUACAUUGAAAAUGCUAAUGGUUCAAAUCCAUUAUUGCUCA
RNAcentral lists this transfer RNA (73 nucleotides) under Ahnfeltia plicata. RNAcentral describes it as "tRNA-Val". It matches the Rfam family "tRNA". Rfam says of the family: Transfer RNA (tRNA) molecules are approximately 80 nucleotides in length. Their secondary structure includes four short double-helical elements and three loops (D, anti-codon, and T loops). RNAcentral also lists the same sequence under 1 other name. The record is from RNAcentral. Lineage: Eukaryota; Rhodophyta; Florideophyceae; Ahnfeltiales; Ahnfeltiaceae.